GCAGCCAUCUCAAUACUCUAAGAGUAGUUUUACGUUAAAGCCAUCAAUGCAGAAAAGAGAACAAAAGAAUGAAAAAUUGAGUCCUUCAUGCUAUGGAUAAGCCAAUGUAUACUAUUGAAAUGUGAAGCUCACCUAAAUUAUAGAUCUUAUUGUUAGGUGAGCAAAUGUUAUAGUUUGCGUGUGAGGUGUCCUCCAAAAAGCACAUGUGUGAGACAAUGCAAGAUGGUUUAGAGGAGAGAUUAUCUGGUUAUGAGAACCUUAACCCAAUCAGUGAAUUAAUACCAUGAUGGGAUUAACUGAGUGGUGGCUGAACGUGGGUAGGGUGUGGCUUCAGGAGGUGGGUCAGUGGGGGCAUGGCUUUGAAGGUUAUAUAUUUGGUGUCUGGCAAGUGGAGUCUCUCUCUCUUUCUGUGUCUGCUUUCUGAUCAUUAUGUAAACUGUUUCCCUCCACCAUACUCUUCUGCCAUUAUGUUCAGUCUCACCUCAAGUCUGAGGAAUGGAGCUAGCUGCCUAUGGACAGAGACCUCUGAAACUAUGAGCCCUCAAAUAAACUUUUUCUUCUCUACAAUUGUUCUGGUCAGAUCUUUUAGCCACAGCAGCAAAAAGGCGUACUAAAACAGAAAUUGGUACCAUGAGUGGGGUUGUUACUGUGACCCACCUGACCAUAUGGUUCAUCAGCAUUUGGAGCUUUCUGGAAUUGGCUGGAGAAAUUUUGAGAUGUUUUGGCAGUGCAAGUUGGAAAUGCUUUAUAUUGUUGUCAGUAGAGCUUAUGGCCGAUUCUGGUGCGAGUUCAGAAGACCAGAAUGACAAUAGGACCAUGGACAGUGAAGGCAGGGCUCAAGAGGAUUUAGAGGAAAAGAAGGACACUAUUGAUAAUUGGAUUAGAGACCAUUUGUAUUACGUUCUGGCUGAGAAGUUGUCUGCAUUUUACCCAUGUCUUGAGACUUUCUUUGAGGCUGAUUUUAAAAGUGAUGGACUUCUUGGCCAGGUGCGGUGGUGCACACCUGUAAUCCCAGUGGUUGGGGAGAUGGAAUCAGAAGGAUCUAAAGUUCAAAGCCAGCCUCAGCAAAAAGCAAGGCACUAAGCAUCUCAGUGAGACCUUGUCUUUAAAUAAAAUACAAAAAAAAUAGUGAUGGGAAUGUGGCUUAGUGGCUGAGUGCCCUUCAGUUCAAUCCCCAGUAUCCCACCCCCCGCAAAAAAGUGAUGAACUUCUUGAUCUGGCAGAGGAUAUUUCUAGACAGCAUAGCAUUCAGGUGGUGACAUGGAUAAUGCUGGCAGCUUUUAGCCAAUUUUUUUUUUUUUUUGAGAAUGAGGAGCAGAAUGCAGAGCAAAAAGAUUUGAAAAACUUGAAAUUGAAAGGUGGGAGUAAAACUGGGGCUAAGGAAGUUACUGUUGCUAAAGACUUUACUGCCACUGAAGAAAUGCUAAAGACUUUGUCCAGAGACAAUAAGAAAGGGCUUGAGGGCAUCUCAGUAACUGGCAAGAUCAUAUUCACCUCAGACUCAAGGAAGUAAAAAUAAAAAUCCUCUUGAGAAGAGAGCCAUGGGGUACCUUUCUUACAUAAAGGGGCUGAGGAAGUUUUUUCAACAUGCUCAGCCACCCAGGCACUCAGAGGCUACUGCAGCCAGGGUCCCUGGAAGCUUGGCUACUGCUUGAGAUGGUGGCAGACCUUGGUGCCAACCAUGUGAUACUGGUUCUUCAGGAAUGCAAGAUGCUAGAGUUAGGAGGUCAUGGAGGCUUCCACCAGGAUUUCAAAGGAAGGCGUGGGAGGCCAGGCAAAGUGCCCCAGGCUCAGUGUCUCUGUUGGAUGCCCCUGAGAGGGCAAUGUGUGGAAAUGUGAAGAGGAAGUCAAAGCUGCAGUGGAGUCCGCCAAGAUUAAGAAAUGCCAAUAGUGUGGAACGUCCACCAAAGAAAGCUACAGGACCCAAAGAGAGUCAACAGAAAGGCCAAUGCCAUAUGGCCUGGAUGCUGGAUGAGGAGCUACAGGAAUUAUUUGCCCAUCUGGAUUUUGGUCUUGCUUUGGUCCUAUUCCUUCUUUCCCUGCCUUAUUUUUGUAAAUGGAAAUGUUUACUCUGUACCUUUACCAACUGUAUACUUGUAAACUGCUUUUUAAUUUUACAGGAACACUCACGAUGCAAACUUACCCUGAGUAUCAGAGGAGACUUUGGACUUUAACUUUAGGCAAUCUUGGAAUUGUUGAGACUGGGGACUCUUGGAAAUGGACUAAAUGCAUUUUGCAUUGUGAGAUAGAUGGUCAUGACCUUUUGGGGGCCAGGGGUGGAAUGUUAUGGUUUAGAUGUGAGGGGUCCCCCAAAAGCUUAUGUGUGAG
This 2328-nucleotide long non-coding RNA is filed under the name Marmota monax (woodchuck). The record is from RNAcentral. Lineage: Eukaryota; Metazoa; Chordata; Mammalia; Rodentia; Sciuridae.